RNAcentral lists this small nuclear RNA (310 nucleotides) under Chinchilla lanigera (long-tailed chinchilla). RNAcentral's name for it is "7SK RNA (ENSCLAG00000022070.1)". It matches the Rfam family "7SK RNA". Rfam says of the family: 7SK was discovered as an abundant small nuclear RNA in the mid-70s but a possible function has only recently been suggested. Two independent studies have found that 7SK RNA binds the CDK9/cyclin T complex (known as elongation factor P-TEFb). The record is from RNAcentral. Lineage: Eukaryota; Metazoa; Chordata; Mammalia; Rodentia; Chinchillidae.
GGAUGUGAGGAUGAUAUGGCUGUGACAUCUGUCACCCCAAUGAUUGCCAGGGUUGAUUCAGCUGAUCUGGCUGGCUAGGUGGGUGUCCCCUUCCUCCUCAACACUGCAUGAGUAUCCCUCCCAAAACUGAGCACUCCGUCGAAGAGGAUGACCACUCCCGAUAGAGGAGGACCUUUUUUUUUUUCGGUCAAAAGUAUAGGAGUAGCUCCACUACCUUGCUGGAACCUCCAAACAAGCUCUCAAAAAGAAUAAGAUUAUAAAUGUGACUGAAUUAAAACAUUAAAACUUCUGUGGCCCAAAGAUAUCAUUA